GUGGUAUUUUUUAUGGAGGAGCUAGAGCUCAUCAGCCAUCACCAGAUUUUGCACUAGUCGAUAAUUUUGUAUAUGUGUGAUGGCUCAUAAACAAUUCAGAUAUGCCAAAUUGACUUGCACUAAAGAAAAUUAGUACAAAGUUUAGUAUAAAAAUUAAGUUGAACUAGCCAUUGGAUGGGCAUGUGCGAUCCAAAAACAAAAAUUGCAGAUCUAUAAGGGAUGCUCAGAUCGAAGUAGCCAUUGCUCCUCAAGCAACUGGACCGUUCGGGUUCACUGCCUGCUAAUCAGAGAGGAAAUUUGAGACAAAGAGGACAAGGAACAUAUGCAUCUGAGAUCAACAAACUAGCACUACUAUUUCCCAUUUUCCCAUCAACAAACUCAGCGUAACUAUUCCCCAUUUUCCCACCAAUGGGAUAGUUGCCGUCAGCCAAGAGGAACAUAGAGAUCUCGAUGAAAGAACAAAUGGGACUUACCCAUUCUCGCGCUGCUGCAAGUCGAGCUCGCUACACUCCUUGCAGCACUCCCGGUCAUGGGGCCGAGCUCACUGGCCGUUCUCCAGCUCCCAACACAUACUACCACAGCACUGCAGGGGUGGUGGCUUAGAGCUUAGUGGAGGACAACCGGGCUGUUGACCUCCUAGUUCACACAAGUACUAUAAAAGAUUAAGAGAACCUCAUUUAGAUGAUUUAUCUUGGCCAGUUGGUCAACAACCUUACCUAUACAUCCUGGUGGUCGUGUGUUCGAAACUUGCCAAGCCUUAUCUACUGCUAUUUUUUUCUUUAUUUUAAUUGCCUUGUAAAUUGUAAUCAUUUUUUGUGAUAACCAUCUCAUCACUAAUAAUAAUUUUAGCGAUGAUAAAAUAUGGCAUCACUAAUUAAAAAUUAAAAAAUGAUAAUAUGCCAAUUCAUCACGAUCAACCCGUCACUGUUUUUAGGUUUUUUGAUGACUUAACAUUUUAUCACGGAUUGAGCACAGUAGUAGUGAGAGAAGAUUAAAUCAUCACAGUUCACUCGUCACUGUUGGUAUAAUUAGUGGUUAGCUACCAGGUUAUCACAUUUUUUUAAUAAAAUAGUGGCAACACUAUGACUUAUCACAAUUGAGAUGUCACUGACGAUGUGUUUUGUGAUGACAAAAUAUUUUCUCACUAGUUAUAGGUGAAAUAGUGAUGGAAAAUAGUUUCCCACUAGUUGUACAUGAAAAUAGUGACAACAAGAUAGUUUGUCACUGUAAAACCACUUAUUAGUGAGGAAGUAAGGUUUCAUCACUAGCGUUCGUCACUAGUGGGCCAAUUCCUUGUGGUGUUGGCAGAGUAUGGAAAGCUUUAGGCGAAGCCUUUCCCUACCUCUAGCUGGUAUCAACGAAGCCAACGAUUGUGGGAACCGGUUUUCCUUCUUGGAGAAUGGAGACGUUAUCGUGGUGUUUCUAUCUUCCUUCAAAUGAGAACCUAGUUCUGGUUUUUCCAAACAAGCGAUGAUAGCGCCAUUGCCAUUAUUUUCCUUGGAGAUGUUGCUUAGAAGGUCAUACUCCUCGUUUGGUACUUGCCGUCUUUGUGAGGUCGGUCAUCAAGGCUGAGGCCCUUCAUAAGAAUUUAGGACUUGUCUCAGGUUUCAGUUUAUCCUAAGUUGUAGUGACAUCGACCCAGUUAUCAGGUUGGGUGCUCUAUAUGGGUUUUAACCAACUGGGUUGUGGUAAGGUUUUUGGUCCUAAUUUUUUUUCGCGAUAAAUAGGCCCAACUCUCUUCUUUCUAAUGAAAAGCACCCUUUUCACUUUGAGAUUUGCCUUUAUAAAAAAUUAGCCACGACACACUGAAUAUUUGUGAGUAACUAUUUGUAAAAUGCGCACUGCAGUGGAUUAAUAAUUUUCAUAGGCCAUCCAAACCAGGACUUUUGCGUGAUUCAAAUCGACCUGUAAGUCGCUAUCCUUUGGACUCAAUUGCGUCUUAUCCUCGAUCUAUCCUCGGCAUGAUUUGGCUGUUGUGACAAAAAUGAUUUGGCACGGGAUGGGAUCAAUGAAGGUCCUUUAAGAGUAAGGAUAAUAAUAGAGCUCACUUCCUACUAUUAGCCAAUUUUAAAGCCAACACAUAUAAUAAAUUAGCUAUAAGGUUGGCUACAAUUUUCUUCUCAUCUAUCUCUCACUUAUACAUUAAUUGUAUUUGUCUUAGAGCUUGUGUUAAGCUAGCUCUUGUAUAAGAGCCAACACCCUUAACUUUUUGUUACAUCUCUCCUCCACAUAAGCUUAUAAUAGGCUUAUAGCUAACUAUUAUACUUGCUCUAAGAGCAAGUUUAAUAGUAUAGCCAACUAUUAGCUCCAAUUCAUCUAUAACCAAUCUAAUAGCUCAUUUAUACAAUAGCUACAUACUACACUAUUAAUAUCUAGUCCCACCUGUCAUAUACACACUGUGUCUUAGAAUCCGUGCUACAGCUGGCUACCAAUCUAUAGCCCUCAUUUAUCUGCUUAAAAUAUGUUUGUAGCUGGCUUAUAGCACCUGCUCUAAUUUGCAUGAUUUGGCUGCUGUCGACAAAAUGAUUUGUCACGGGACGCUGGGAUCAACGACAUGCAGACGAUGUAACCUUGCGAUUUUGUAUCUUGAACAUCAGAGACCGACCUGGCGUUCUUUUUUUUUUUUUUUGCGGGGACCGACCUGGCGUUCUUGUGAGCAAUAGAGCCAAAUCACUUUAAUCUUGUCUUACUGUGUAUUCAAAACAACUAAACACUUGUUAAAAUACACCGUUAUUGAUGUUCAAGAUACAAAAUCCAACGCAUUCAGCUAAGCUUGACACAUCUAAACACAGCAUCAGCCAUCAGGACAAUGCACAGCACUAGUGAAGUGUAACCAUACCGCUACACGUUUAACUACACAUCUCGCGGUUACUCCCUGGCGACGACGACCACCUGCUUGCCGACGUUGCGGCCGGAGAAGAGCCCGAUGAGCGCGGCCGGCGCGUUCUCCAGCCCUUCGGCGACGUCCUCCACGUACGCGAUCUUCCCCUCCUUCACAUACCGCGCGGCCUUCUCCUCGUACUCCCUGUACCUGGCGUAGUGGUCGGACACGAUGAACCCUUCGAUCCGGAGCCGCUUCGUGACGAUGGCCGUCAGGUUGUGGACGGGGUCGGGGUGCUCCAGGUUGUACUGCGAGAUCAUCCCGCAGGCCGCGACGCGGCCGCGCACCCGCAUGUUGAGCAGCACGGCGUCCAGCAUCGCGCCGCCCACGUUUUCGAAGUAGAUGUCGAUCCCUUCCGGGAAGCACCGCUUCAGGGCCGCGCUCAGGUCACUCUCCUUCUUGUAGUUGAAGGCGUCGUCGAAGCCGAACUUCUCCCUGAGCAGCCUCACCUUGUCGUCGGAGCCGGCGCUCCCGACGACGUAGCAGCCCAUGAGCUUGGCGAACUGUCCCACCAGCUGCCCCACGGCGCCCGACGCGGCGGAGACGUACACCCUCUCGCCUUCCCUUGGCGCGCAUAUCUCGUGGAACCCGACGUACGCCGUGAAGCCCGCCAUGCCUGAAACAGAUUAUGAAAUUAAUUAAUCGUCGGCCAUGGAUGCUGAUCUGCUAAUCAAUCGCGGCAUGCAUGGUUCAAUUCGUACCGAGGAGGCCGGUGUAGUAGGAGAGCGGCAGGUCGGGAUGGCGGAUGGCGAAGAGGGCCCUGCUG
RNAcentral lists this small RNA (3647 nucleotides) under Oryza sativa Japonica Group (Japanese rice). RNAcentral's name for it is "sRNA Os04g0496950". Lineage: Eukaryota; Viridiplantae; Streptophyta; Magnoliopsida; Poales; Poaceae. The record is from RNAcentral.